UAAUGUAGGUAAGGGAAGUCGGCAAAUUGGAUCCGUAAGUUCGGGAUAAGGAUUGGCUCUGAGGAGCGGGGCGUGUCGGGCUGGGUCGGGAAGCGAGUCUGGCUGACGUGCCGGGUCUGGGGAUCCGAGCUCGGUCCCGUGCCUUGGCCUCCCGCGGAUCUUCCUUGCUGCGAGGCUUCCGUUGGCGGCCUGCCGUCGGCGGUCGUCCCCUUCGGCCGCCAUUCAACGCUCAGCUCAGAACUGGCACGGACUAGGGGAAUCCGACUGUCUAAUUAAAACAAAGCAUUGCGAUGGCCUCCACAGGUGUUGACGCAAUGUGAUUUCUGCCCAGUGCUCUGAAUGUCAACGUGAAGAAAUUCAAAAAAGCGUGGGUAAACGGCGGGAGUAACUAUGACUCCCUUAAACCCUCAGGUAAGAGGCACGAGCCGUCUAUGCACGAAAGACAUAGACACCCCAAACUUAGAA
Molecule: non-coding RNA, 465 nt
Filed under: Habropoda laboriosa
Lineage: Eukaryota; Metazoa; Arthropoda; Insecta; Hymenoptera; Apidae
Description: Eukaryotic large subunit ribosomal RNA
Rfam family: Eukaryotic large subunit ribosomal RNA
Source: Rfam by way of RNAcentral